ACUUCCAGGGAGCAAGGCAAGAAGCAGCCCUACACCCAUCACUGCUGUGGACACCUGCUCUUCUGGAGCCUUCUGUGUGCCAUGCCCCUGCCUCAGAGAGAGGGCAGAGUCUGUGAGCACAGGGGAAACACUCCCCUUUCCCAGCUGCUGCUCAGGUGCCUGGUCACCAUGCUCUGGAGGAAAUGUCCUGUAGGCCCCAGGGGCGCAAUGGCAUCAUCUGUGGUCAAGCUGUGUCCCCGAUCCCCAGCAAGUUCCUACCAUCUCUCAUUUUCAUGAAUUGUGCACAGAUCUGUUGGUCUGAUCAUCAGCGAGUGGAUACUCCUUGCUGAUUGGUGGCUCAUGCACCUUUCACUUCUUCGGCGACAUCCUGACUUCCUGUUGGGAGUGACCUCUUAGACAUUGUGUGCUGUCCAGGUGAAAAUGUCCCUCCUAACCAGAGCUUGCCCCUGCUCUCCAGGACCUGGGCGGAGGGGAUCAGUGGGGCGCACACUCCUGCGGGCUCCUGAAUGGGCUCCUGGAGCAGCUCCUGCAUGUGGCCCACUACUGUCCUUUCCUAACCCCCUUCCCUUCAGUUCCUGUUGCCUGCAGCCACAAGCUCUUCAGCCAGCUGCCCCUGAGUCUGCACCAAUGAGCCAUGGGGCCUGGACAAUGAAUCCCAGCUGCCUGAGCCUUGAGUCUUAUGCCUGGGUGGGAUAAACUCGCCCCUCACCAAGCCCCCAUUCUGUGCCAAGCACCAUAUUAAAUCAUGUUAAAUAUGAUGAUGUGGAAGAAGAGCUAUCACAUGCAGUGGUUUUAAUUCACCCCUGUGCUGACCAGGGGGUCUUCCCUCAUAGUUCCGGAGCCUUUGCUUCGAGAUAAUUAAAAUACAAGCUCAAUGCCUCCAGAGCUGAGGGUGCAUAUUGACUCUGGGUCCAUGUAAUAAGACACAGCCAUUGAGAGUGGCUGAGCAUCUUCACUUGAUUCACCUUAUCUGAUGUAGGGUUUUCAGUUGGGACUGUUCAAAAAAAUAAAGAUAUCCUAAGUGAA
Molecule: long non-coding RNA, 1026 nt
Organism: Galeopterus variegatus (Sunda flying lemur)
Lineage: Eukaryota; Metazoa; Chordata; Mammalia; Dermoptera; Cynocephalidae
Exons: 2
Source: RefSeq, a predicted model, not a curated record